This 465-nucleotide ribosomal RNA is filed under the name uncultured bacterium. Its description in RNAcentral is "partial 16S ribosomal RNA". It matches the Rfam family "Bacterial small subunit ribosomal RNA", at positions 338 to 795 of the family's 1533-position model. The record is from RNAcentral.
CCUACGGGUGGCAGCAGUGGGGAAUAUUGCGCAAUGGGCGAAAGCCUGACCCAGCGACGCCGCGUGAGGGAUGAAGGUCUUCGGAUCGUAAACCUCUGUCAGCAGGGAAGAACGGGCACUGUGCUAAGCAGCAAUGAAUUGACGGUACCUGAAAAGGAAGCACCGGCUAACUGCGUGCCAGCAGCCGCGGUAAUACGGAGGGUGCGAGCGUUAAACGGAAUUACUGGGCGUAAAGCGCGCGUAGGCGGUAUGUCAAGUCAAGGGUGAAAUCCCCGGGCUCAACGUGGGAACUGCGUUUGAAACUGGUGGACUGGAGUGUAUGAGAGGCUAGUGGAAUUCCUGGUGUAGGGGUGAAAUCCGUAGAUAUUUGGAGGAACACCAGUGGCGAAGGCGACUAUCUGGCACAUAACUGACGCUGAGGAGCGAAAGCGUGGGUAGCAAACAGGAUUAGAUACCCCUGUAGUC